This 497-nucleotide ribosomal RNA is filed under the name uncultured bacterium. RNAcentral's name for it is "partial 16S ribosomal RNA". It matches the Rfam family "Bacterial small subunit ribosomal RNA", at positions 28 to 507 of the family's 1533-position model. The record is from RNAcentral.
GAUGAACGCUGGCGGCGUGCCUAAUACAUGCAAGUCGAGCGAACAGACGAUGAGCUUGCUCCUCUCACGUUAGCGGCGCACGUGUGAGUAACACGUGUAUAAUCCACCUAUAUUACUGGUAUAACUUCGGGAAACCGGAUCUAACACCGUAUAAUAUAUUGCACCGUAUGGUUCAAUAGUGAAAUACGGCUGUGCCGUCACUUAUAGAUGGUUCCGCGCCGCAUUAGCUAGUUGGUAAGGUAACGGCUUACCAAGGCUACGAUGCGUAGCCGACGUGAGAGGGUGGUCGGCCGCACUAGAACUGGAACGGGGUCCAGGCUCCUGCGAGAGGCAGCAGUAGGGAAUGUUACGCAGUAGGCGAGAGCAUGACAGAGCGGCGCGACGUGUGUGGUGGAAGUCUUGGGAUCGUGAUGCUGUGUUAUUAGGGAAAAACAAAUGUGUAAGGAACUGUGCACGUCUUGACGGUAACUGGUAAGAAAGCCACGGCUAACUACGUG